ACUGUUUUAUGCUGAGGACCUAAAUAAGUCCCUUCAUCUAUGUAAUAACGUAAAGAGUCACUACACUCGGGACAUUCAAAAAUCUCAUUCGGUUCAAUAGCUUCUUCUUCAACCCAUUCCCAGCCAAUAUGUUCUUCACAACUUGGACAGUCCAUUUUUUUAUUCCUCUUAACUAUUUUCGGCGAGUGUAAUUAACCUCAACUCGGGAUAAGAAAGUCGAGAAUAUAUUUUUCAUACACUUAAAUUAAACCAAUAAGUCAGU
Molecule: unclassified non-coding RNA, 262 nt
Filed under: Aliivibrio wodanis
Lineage: Bacteria; Pseudomonadati; Pseudomonadota; Gammaproteobacteria; Vibrionales; Vibrionaceae
Description: putative sRNA
Source: RNAcentral